This 254-nucleotide ribosomal RNA is filed under the name uncultured bacterium. RNAcentral's name for it is "partial 16S ribosomal RNA". It matches the Rfam family "Bacterial small subunit ribosomal RNA", at positions 524 to 776 of the family's 1533-position model. The record is from RNAcentral.
UACAGAGGUCCCAAGCGUUGUUCGGAUUCACUGGGCGUAAAGGGUGCGCAGGUGGGUUUGCAAGUUCGAUGUGAAAGCCCCGGGCUUAACCCGGGAAUGGCAUUGGAUACUGCAGAUCUGGAGGAUCGGAGGGGGGGACUGGAAUUCUUGGUGUAGCAGUGAAAUGCGUAGAUAUCAAGAGGAACACCAGUGGCGAAGGCGAGUCCCUGGACGAUACCUGACACUGAGGCACGAAAGCUAGGGGAGCAAACAGG